Molecule: long non-coding RNA, 380 nt
Organism: Vicia villosa (hairy vetch)
Lineage: Eukaryota; Viridiplantae; Streptophyta; Magnoliopsida; Fabales; Fabaceae
Exons: 3
Source: RefSeq, a predicted model, not a curated record
UUCUAUUGUGUUGAUAUUUUUAUUAUUUUUUUUCUUAGUUAUCACUUAUAUUUUAACUGUCUUUUGAUUGCAGAAGGAUGCAAAGUUGAAGCCGAAUCGUUGAAGCUGUGUGAAACUUUGAAAUUCACAGGUGAAUUUAGUUUGGUGAAGAUGAUGAACAUGUGUGAUAGGUUAUUUUGAAGGAAUUGUCAGGUUAUGCAGAAUUUGAAGGUUCUAUGGAUGGUACUCUAAUGGAAGGUCAAAUCAUGGAGGAAUAUUUGUGCAGAAUUUUAUGGUGAAGGAUCAAAUGAAAUUUGGAGGAAGAAGUUUGAACAAAUGAAUUUUUAACUGUCAUUGACUCAACUUAAUCUAUGUAUCAAUUAUUUAAAUAUUUUAUCAAU